GAUGAACGCUGGCGGCGUGCCUAAUACAUGCAAGUCGAGCGAACAGACGAGGAGCUUGCUCCUCUGACGUUAGCGGCGGACGGGUGAGUAACACGUGGAUAACCUACCUAUAAGACUGGGAUAACUUCGGGAAACCGGAGCUAAUACCGGAUAACAUGUUGAACCGCAUGGUUCAACAGUGAAAGACGGUCUUGCUGUCACUUAUAGAUGGAUCCGCGCCGCAUUAGCUAGUUGGUAAGGUAACGGCUUACCAAGGCAACGAUGCGUAGCCGACCUGAGAGGGUGAUCGGCAACACUGGAACUGAGACACGGUCCAGACUCCUACGGGAGGCAGCAGUAGGGAAUCUUCCGCAAUGGGCGAAAUCCUGACGGAGCAACGCCGCGUGAGUGAAGAAGGUCUUCGGAUCGUAAAACUCUGUUAUUAGGGAAGAACAAAUGUGUAAGUAACUAUGCACGUCUUGACGGUACCUAAUCAGAAAGCCACGGCUAACUACGUG
Molecule: ribosomal RNA, 497 nt
Filed under: uncultured bacterium
Lineage: Bacteria
Description: partial 16S ribosomal RNA
Rfam family: Bacterial small subunit ribosomal RNA
Source: RNAcentral